AGUAACCUCCAGGAGGCUAAACCUGCAAUAAGUAACCUUCUCAUAAGCAACAUCAAACUGAAAAUUUGUAAAUGCUAGUAACAAGCCUGAAAGAGGAAUACAGUUCUUAAAAACCAAGAUUAGCAAGAGAUCUAUAUGAUAAGCUUCAAUAGUCAUAUAUACAAAUUGCAAUCGCACAAAACCUGAGUUCAUCGCCUAAUCGGAUUGAGAAACAGAAGCAAGAUAAAAAGUCUAGUCAAGAGAUUAACCUAAGCAACGAAAGUUUCAAA
This is a long non-coding RNA of Arabidopsis thaliana (thale cress), 269 nucleotides long. RefSeq annotates it as other RNA. The record is from RefSeq. NCBI's taxonomy places the organism in Eukaryota, Viridiplantae, Streptophyta, Magnoliopsida, Brassicales, Brassicaceae. The transcript has a single exon.